Molecule: ribosomal RNA, 541 nt
Filed under: uncultured bacterium
Lineage: Bacteria
Description: bacterial SSU rRNA
Rfam family: Bacterial small subunit ribosomal RNA
Source: RNAcentral
AGAGUUUGAUCCUGGCUCAGAGCGAACGCUGGCGGCGUGCCUAACACAUGCAAGUCGAACGUGAACGGGGGCAACCCCUAGUAAAGUGGCGUACGGGUGAGUAACGCGUAGGUUAUCUACCCCAGAGUCCGGAAUAACCGGCCGAAAGGCUGGCUAAUACGGGAUAGAGCGAGGGAAUCCGUAAUGGGAUUUUUCGGGAAAGGGAGCGGGUCAAACCGCCUUCGCUCUGGGAUGAGCCUGCGUCUCAUUAGCUAGUUGGUAGGGUAAUGGCCUACCAAGGCUGGGAUGGGUAGCUGGUCUGAGAGGAUGAUCAGCCACACUGGAACUGAAACACGGUCCAGACUCCUACGGGAGGCAGCAGUGGGGAAUCUUGCGCAAUGGACGAAAGUCUGACGCAGCCACGCCGCGUGAGUGAAGAAGGCCUUCGGGUUGUAAAGCUCUGUCGGGAGGGACGAACGGUCUUUGGGUGAAUAGCCCAGAGAAUUGACGGUACCUCUAGAGGAAGCACCGGCUAACUCCGUGCCAGCAGCCGCGGUAAUAC